This 1209-nucleotide ribosomal RNA is filed under the name metagenome. RNAcentral describes it as "bacterial LSU rRNA". It matches the Rfam family "Bacterial large subunit ribosomal RNA", at positions 1591 to 2816 of the family's 2925-position model. The record is from RNAcentral.
GGGACCUAAGCAUACUUCCAAGAAAAACCUCUAAGCUUCAGGUAAUUGCUACCCGUACCGCAAACCGACACAGGUAGUCAAGGAGAGAAUCCUAAGGUGCUCGAGUGAUUCAUGGCUAAGGAACUAGGCAAAAUCGACCUGUAACUUCGGGAGAAAGGUCGCCCCGAGCAAUCGGGGCCGCAGUGAAAUGGCCCAGGCGACUGUUUAUCAAAAACACAAGGCUUUGCUAAAUCGAAAGAUGAUGUAUAAGGCCUGACACCUGCCCGGUGCUGGAAGGUUAAGAGGGGGGGUUAUUCCUUCGGGAAGAAGCUCUGAAUCGAAGCCCCAGUAAACGGCGGCCGUAACAAUAACGGUCCUAAGGUAGCGAAAUUCCUUGUCGGGUAAGUUCCGACCUGCACGAAUGGUGUAACGAUCUGGGCACUGUCUCAGCCAUGAGCUCGGUGAAAUUGUAGUUCCGGUGAAGAUGCCGGAUACCCGCAACGGGACGGAAAGACCCCGUGAACCUUUACUACAGCUUAACAUUGAUUCUGGGUAAGUGAUGUGUAGGAUAGGUGGGAGACUAUGAAGCGGCUUCGCUAGGAGUCGUGGAGUCAACCUUGAAAUACCACCCUUUAUUUAUCUGGGUUCUAAUCCCUAACGGGAGACAGUGUUUGGUGGGUAGUUUGACUGGGGUGGUCGCCUCCAAAAGCGUAACGGAGGCUUCCAAAGGUACCCUCAGCAUGAUUGGUAACCAUGCGCAGAGUGUAAUGACACAAGGGUGCUUGACUGUGAGACUGACAAGUCGACCAGGUACGAAAGUAGGGCAUAGUGAUCCGGUGGUUCCGUAUGGAAGGGCCAUCGCUCAAAGGAUAAAAGGUACUCCGGGGAUAACAGGCUGAUCGCUCCCAAGAGCUCAUAUCGACGGAGCGGUUUGGCACCUCGAUGUCGGCUCGUCGCAUCCUGGGGCUGGAGAAGGUCCCAAGGGUUGGGCUGUUCGCCCAUUAAAGUGGCACGCGAGCUGGGUUCAGAACGUCGUGAGACAGUUCGGUCCCUAUCUGUUGUGGGCGUUGGAGAUUUGAGAGGGCCUGCCUCUAGUACGAGAGGACCGAGGCGGACAGACCUCUAGUGUACCUGUUGUGGCGCCAGCUGCACCGCAGGGUAGCUACGUCUGGAAGGGAUAAGCACUGAAAGCAUCUAAGUGCGAAGCCUGCCUCAAGAUGAGAUCUCCUU